GAUGAACGCUAGCUAUAGGCUUAACACAUGCAAGUCGAGGGGAAACGGCAUUAUGUGCUUGCACAUUUUGGACGUCGACCGGCGCACGGGUGAGUAUCGCGUAUCCAACCUGCCCUUUACUUGGGGAUACCCCGUUGAAAGACGGCCUAAUACCCGAUGUUGUUCAUUGAUGGCAUCUGAUUUGAACCAAAGAUUUAUCGGUAAAGGAUGGGGAUGCGUCUGAUUAGCUUGUUGGUGAGGUAACGGCUCACCAAGGCUACGAUCAGUAGGGGUUCUGAGAGGAAGGUCCCCCACAUUGGAACUGAGACACGGUCCAAACUCCUACGGGAGGCAGCAGUGAGGAAUAUUGGUCAAUGGACGUAAGUCUGAACCAGCCAAGUAGCGUGCAGGAUGACGGCCCUAUGGGUUGUAAACUGCUUUUGUUAGGGAGUAAAUGAAGGCACGUGUGCUUUUUUGCAUUUACCUUUCGAAUAAGGACCGGCUAAUUCCGUGCCAGCAGCCGCGGUAAUACGGAAGGUCCAGGCGUUAUCCGGAUUUAUUGGGUUUAAAGGGAGUGUAGGCGGUUUGUUAAGCGUGUUGUGAAAUUUAGGUGCUCAACAUUUAACUUGCAGCGCGAACUGGCGAACUUGAGUGCACACAACGUAUGCGGAAUUCAUGGUGUAGCGGUGAAAUGCUUAGAUAUCAUGAAGAACUCCGAUUGCGAAGGCAGCGUACGGGAGUGUAACUGACGCUUAAGCUCGAAGGUGCGGGUAUCGAACAGG
This 761-nucleotide ribosomal RNA is filed under the name uncultured Prevotella sp. Its description in RNAcentral is "bacterial SSU rRNA". It matches the Rfam family "Bacterial small subunit ribosomal RNA", at positions 28 to 776 of the family's 1533-position model. Lineage: Bacteria; Pseudomonadati; Bacteroidota; Bacteroidia; Bacteroidales; Prevotellaceae. The record is from RNAcentral.